RNAcentral lists this long non-coding RNA (307 nucleotides) under Mus caroli (Ryukyu mouse). RNAcentral's name for it is "predicted gene, 44258 (MGP_CAROLIEiJ_G0034605.1)". The record is from RNAcentral. Lineage: Eukaryota; Metazoa; Chordata; Mammalia; Rodentia; Muridae.
GAGAGUUGCUCAUGAUUCGUGCAGACAAAGGAGGACACGGACCACACUCCCUUCCCGUGAAGCACACGCUGAGUAUCGGACCAUGUGCCGCCACAAGCAGAAAUGAGCUGAUGGGUAGAAGGGACUGGGUCCUUGCUUUGCCUCACUGUGGCUCCCAGCUCUCAGAAGCCUUGCAUGCCUCAGGCUCCAAGGCAUCUGCACUGACCCGUGAUCCGGGAUAAAGGGAAGACUGCGAUGUUUCUAAGUUUGGUAGUUUUCUUUUUAAGUCUAAAUUCUCUUUCCCAUUAAAGUGGCUGGUUUUAUCUAA